This 81-nucleotide small RNA is filed under the name Flavobacterium branchiophilum. RNAcentral describes it as "Flavo-1 RNA". The record is from RNAcentral. Lineage: Bacteria; Pseudomonadati; Bacteroidota; Flavobacteriia; Flavobacteriales; Flavobacteriaceae.
GUUGCGUUAGGGAUAGCAGAUAAAAUCCUUUUUUAAGGCUUUUUCUGACUCAAAAAAGAUUAUUUCAUAACAUGAUAUUUC